Molecule: ribosomal RNA, 433 nt
Filed under: uncultured bacterium
Lineage: Bacteria
Description: partial 16S ribosomal RNA
Rfam family: Bacterial small subunit ribosomal RNA
Source: RNAcentral
AACGAACGCUGGCGGCAUGCCUAACACAUGCAAGUCGAACGAGACCUUCGGGUCUAGUGGCGCACGGGUGCGUAACGCGUGGGAACCUGCCCUUAGGUUCGGAAUAACUCCCCGAAAGGGGUGCUAAUACCGGAUAAUGUCUUCGGACCAAAGAUUUAUCGCCUUUGGAUGGGCCCGCGUUGGAUUAGCUAGUUGGUAGGGUAAAAGCCUGCCAAGGCGACGAUCCAUAGCUGGUCUGAGAGGAUGAUCAGCCACACUGGGACUGAGACACGGCCCAGACUCCUACGGGAGGCAGCAGUGGGGAAUAUUAGACACUGGGCGAAAGCCUGAUCCAGCAGUGCCGCGUAAGUGAUGAAGGCCUUAGGGUUGUAAAGCUCUUUUACCCGGGAUGAUAAUGACAGUACCGGGAGAAUAAGCACCGGCUAACUCCGUG